GACGAACGCUGGCGGCGUGCUUAACACAUGCAAGUCGAGCGGUAAGGCCCUCGGGUACGACGAGCGGCGAACGGGUGAGUAACACGUGGGUGACCUGCCUCUAGCUCUGGGAUAAGCCUGGGAAACUGGGUCUAAUACCGGAUAUGACUCCACGGCGCAUGUUGUGGGGUGGAAAGCCUUGUGUGGCUAGAGAUGGGCCCGCGGCCUAUCAGCUUGUUGGUGGGGUGGAUGGCCUACCAAGGCGACGACGGGUAGCCGGCCUGAGAGGGCGACCGGCCACACUGGGACUGAGACACGGCCCA
RNAcentral lists this ribosomal RNA (302 nucleotides) under uncultured bacterium. Its description in RNAcentral is "bacterial SSU rRNA". It matches the Rfam family "Bacterial small subunit ribosomal RNA", at positions 28 to 333 of the family's 1533-position model. The record is from RNAcentral.